UACGUAGGUGGCAAGCGUUAUCCGGAAUUAUUGGGCGUAAAGCGCGCGCAGGUGGUUUCUUAAGUCUGAUGUGAAAGCCCACGGCUCAACCGUGGAGGGUCAUUGGAAACUGGGAGACUUGAGUGCAGAAGAGGAAAGUGGAAUUCCAUGUGUAGCGGUGAAAUGCGUAGAGAUAUGGAGGAACACCAGUGGCGAAGGCGGCGUCCUGGACCAAUACUGACACUGAAACGCGAAAGCCAGGGGAGCAAACAGG
This 253-nucleotide ribosomal RNA is filed under the name uncultured bacterium. RNAcentral's name for it is "partial 16S ribosomal RNA". It matches the Rfam family "Bacterial small subunit ribosomal RNA", at positions 524 to 776 of the family's 1533-position model. The record is from RNAcentral.